AGAGUUUGAUCCUGGCUCAGGACGAACGCUGGCGGCGUGCCUAAUACAUGCAAGUCGAGCGAGCUUGCAUAUAGAAAUUCUUCGGAAUGGACAUAGAUACAAGCUAGCGGCGGAUGGGUGAGUAACGCGUGGGUAACCUGCCCUUAAGUCUGGGAUACCAUUUGGAAACAGAUGCUAAUACCGGAUAAAAGCUACUUUCGCAUGAAAGAAGUUUAAAAGGCGGCGUAAGCUGUCGCUAAAGGAUGGACCUGCGAUGCAUUAGCUAGUUGGUAAGGUAACGGCUUACCAAGGCGAUGAUGCAUAGCCGAGUUGAGAGAGUGAUCGGCCACAUUGGGACUGAGACACGGCCCAAACUCCUACGGGAGGCAGCAGUAGGGAAUCUUCCACAAUGGACGAAAGUCUGAUGGAGCAACGCCGCGUGAGUGAAGAAGGUUUUCGGAUCGUAAAGCUCUGUUGUUGGUGAAGAAGGAUAGAGGUAGUAACUGGCCUUUAUUUGACGGUAAUCAACCAGAAAGUCACGGCUAACUACGUGCCAGCAGCCGCGGUAAUACGUAGGUGGCAAGCGUUGUCCGGAUUUAUUGGGCGUAAAGCGAGCGCAGGCGGAUUGAUAAGUCUGAUGUGAAAGCCUUCGGCUCAACCGAAGAACUGCAUCAGAAACUGUCAAUCUUGAGUGCAGAAGAGGAGAGUGGAACUCCAUGUGUAGCGGUGGAAUGCGUAGAUAUAUGGAAGAACACCAGUGGCGAAGGCGGCUCUCUGGUCUGUAACUGACGCUGAGGCUCGAAAGCAUGGGUAGCGAACAGGAUUAGAUACCCUGGUAGUCCAUGCCGUAAACGAUGAGUGCUAGGUGUUAGGACCUUUCCGCGCGUGCUCAGUGCUGCAGCUAACGCAUAAGCACUCCGCCUGGGAGACGCCGCCC
RNAcentral lists this ribosomal RNA (916 nucleotides) under Lactobacillus jensenii. RNAcentral's name for it is "bacterial SSU rRNA". It matches the Rfam family "Bacterial small subunit ribosomal RNA", at positions 9 to 873 of the family's 1533-position model. The record is from RNAcentral. Lineage: Bacteria; Bacillati; Bacillota; Bacilli; Lactobacillales; Lactobacillaceae.